This 71-nucleotide transfer RNA is filed under the name Sphaerodactylus townsendi. RNAcentral's name for it is "tRNA-Ala". Lineage: Eukaryota; Metazoa; Chordata; Lepidosauria; Squamata; Sphaerodactylidae. The record is from RNAcentral.
UAGCUGUGGCUUAGUGGCAGAGCAUCUGCUUGGCUUGCAGAAAGUCCCACGUUCAGUCUGUGGUGGCAGAU